AUGGCUGAUGUAGGAAUGAACAUGAUACUCACCUGCUCACCAAAUAUAAGGUUAAAUAUUUGUAAAGAACCACUGAAGCAAACCACAUUCUUUUUAGAAUUCUUCCAUAAAGCAUCUCACUGCUGUUGUAACUUUUCUGAUCAGAGAUACAAUUACAACCAUGAACCACUCAGGGCACUGCUGGAUCUUUAUUCACAUGUGAAGAACUAUGAGUCUCAAACAGGCAGGAGUUUCCUUCCAGCAUUACAGUCAGUUUUCCAGUCAGCACCUGAUGUCUGGAUCAUAGAUCUCUCACAGAGAAUGACCUCUCUCCUUCUGGAAGUGCUGAAACUCCAAACAGAGAAGAAACCAGUAGAACUGAGAGGAUGUACAGAAGAAGAAAGUGAAAUGAUGAGUUUCCUUCAGUGUCUGCCCUACAUCUCACAGCUGAGAUUAAAUAUUUGUAAAGAACCACUGAAGCAAACCACAUUCUUUUUAGAAUUCUUCCAUAAAGCAUCUCACUGCUGUUGUAACUUUUCUGAUCAGAGAUACAAUUACAACCAUGAACCACUCAGGGCACUGCUGGAUCUUUAUUCACAUGUGAAGAACUAUGAGUCUCAAACAGGCAGGAGUUUCCUUCCAGCAUUACAGUCAGUUUUCCAGUCAGCACCUGAUGUCUGGAUCAUAGAUCUCUCACAGAGAAAGACCUCUCUCCUUCUGGAAGUGCUGAAACUCCAAACAGAGAAGAAACCAGUUUAUCUGAAAGGAUUUUCAGAGGAAGAGACUGAAAUGAAGAGUUUCCUUCAGUGUCUGCAAUACAUCUCAGAGCUGGGAUUCUCUAAUCUGAAUGAAAGUGUUCAAAACAGAUAUCUUCUGAAACUCUUCAUUAAUGCAGCAGAGAUUGAGAAACAGACAGGAGAGCAGAUGCUGAAACUGUUAACAUCAGUCUGCAUCUACAGCUCUUUUAAUUAUAAAAUAAUUAAACAGAGUAAUUUCCUGCUGGAUCUCUGCUCACAUGUGAAGAACUAUGAGACUCAAACAGGCAGGAGUUUCCUUCCAGCAUUACAAUCAGUUUUCCAGUCAGCACCUGAUGUCUGGAUCAUAGAUCUCUCACAGAGAAAGAUCUCCAUCCUCCUGGAAGUGUUGAAACUCCAAACAGAGAAGAAACCAGUAGAGCUGAGAGGGUGUUCUGAGAAAGAGAGUGAAAUAAAGAGUUUUCUUCAGUGUCUGCCCUACAUCUCACAGAUGAGGUUUGGGGACCUUUAUAAUCAAGAAAGAAGGAUGUCUGCAGUAAGAUUCCUGCUGAAUCUCAGUGUUGCUACAGUAGAAAGUGACACAGAUACAGGAACAAGAUUCUCAACUCUGUCAUCUAUGUGCAGCUACAAAACCUUCCCUUUUGAGUUUGAUCAGUAUAAUGAUUUUGAUCAGAGUGAUUUCCUGCUGGAUCUUUGCUCAUGUGUGAAGAACUAUGAGACUCAAACAGGCAGGAGUUUCCUUCCAGCAUUCCAGUCAGUAUUCCAGUCACCUGAUGUCUGGAUCAUAGAUCUCUCACAGAGAAUGAUCUCCAUCCUCCUGGAAGUACUGAAACUCCAAACAGAGAAGAAACCAGUAGAGUUGAGAGGAUGUUCAGAGGAAGAAACUGAAGUGAUGAGUUUCCUUCAGUGUCUGCCCUACAUCUCACAGCUGAGGUUUGAUCAUUGGAACAACAAUCAUGCAGUGCAGUUUGUUCUGAAAGUCUUCAUUAAAGCAGCAGAAACUGAGACACAGACAGAAGAGCAGAUGCUGAAACUGCUAACAACAGUCUGCACCUACAGCUCUUUCCCAUAUCAGUGGUCUGACAGAAUUAAACAGAGUGAUUUCUUGCUGGAUCUAUACUCACAUGUGAAGAACUAUGAGACUCAAACAGGCAGAAGUUUGCUUCCAGCAUUACAAUCAGUUUUCCAGUCAGCACCUGAUGUCUGGUCCAUAGAUCUCUCACAGAGAAAAAACUCCUCUCUCCUGGAAGUACUGAAACUCCAAACAGAGAAGAAACGAGUAGAACUGAGAGGAUGUUCAGAGGAAGAGAGUGAAGUGAUGAGUUUCCUUCAGUGUCUGCCCUAUAUCUCACAGCUGAGUUGUUCUGAGCUGUGUUUGUUAACACUAGUUAAAGUGGUCCAGUACAGAGAGAAUCCAGAGUUGGUGACUUUACUGUUGGAGGUUCUUGGCUUCUCCCUCAGUCUGGAAGGACAUUUACCCAGUAAAACCUGCAGGUCUGUGGGGAGAUUCUUACGUUUCUCUUCUGACAGACUCAACCUCACUCUAAAACCUAAAGCCGUCUCUCUAAGAGGAACAAGGCUUCUUUUCAGACACAUCAAAAACAUACACACACUNGCAGUUUUUGACUUUAUAUUUAUCAUGGCAUAG
Molecule: long non-coding RNA, 2382 nt
Organism: Cyprinus carpio (common carp)
Lineage: Eukaryota; Metazoa; Chordata; Actinopteri; Cypriniformes; Cyprinidae
Source: Ensembl